AUGAAAAGUAAUGCAAGACAUAAUCUGUAGCCAGAAAUCACCUGUUUUAAUUGCUGUACUCUUAACAAAUUGUAAAUUGCAAAAUGAUAAGAGUACUUGGGGGUAAAAAGGUCCAGUGCAUCAAACAUAUACUUAAGUAUCUAGAUAAAUAAUAGUUUGUCUCACAAACAGGUUUGAUUCUCAUCUUUGAACCUGUUACUUGGAAACAUUCAGAUUUUGGAAACAAUUAUUCAGAGAUCCACUGACUAGCCCAUAAUGCAGUUGUGUUAAUCCAUUAUAAAAAUCAUUCACAUAAAAGCAUUUUAAUCUUCAACAGAAGCAAUAAAAUUAAAAGGUAAUACUUCUUUUUAGUAAUUAGAUAAUCAAAUAACCACACUGGAAUAAAAUAAAGACAAUUUCUUAUUUCUGCUUAUUCAAUAAACUCCCUUCCUCUUUUUUAGAUAAUGAAAAUAAAUGUAUCACAACCAAAUAUGGGAAACUGCUUAGUCUUUAUUUAGACCUGAAGGGAUAAAUGAACUUUGGUCACAUUUCCUUUUAAAAAAAUAAAAAUCCAGGUUUACAUAUUUCUAAAUAGUCAGAACUAAAUGAGCAGAAAAAUAAUUUCAUAUGUAAAACUUGGCCAAAUUUUAUCAAAAUCCUAACAUGCAAUGUGAUACAAGUUGUAUGAAGGCUGGAAUUACAACAUUCUAAAUGUGACAGUUUUAUUCUGUUCUAAUAUGUAUUAAUCUAUCAUGUCCCAUCAUUCUAUAUAGAAUUGGAAUCCUGGAGCUUAAUGGGUUGAUGUACUUGUGCUUGUGUUGUUUUGGUCCAAAAGAGCAGAGCUGAAUCAGUAAGAGUGAAUGAAAUAUGUAAUCUUUUUCCAACAAUAAUUUAGAUUGUGAUAGGCAGCAGAAAUAUUCUUGAUGAAUGUUCUACUUUAACAAUUAAUUAAGGAAUAUAUUUCAUGAAAACAUCACAGCAUCAAAUUUUUAUAAAAGAAAAAUAUGAAGAAAAAAAACCCAGAUGAAAUAGCUACCACAACAUGUCUUCCACAAUGCAUCUGAAGGGGUAAAAGGUGAGGUUAAAGGGUUGGUGAUGUUAAU
This 1082-nucleotide long non-coding RNA is filed under the name Marmota monax (woodchuck). The record is from RNAcentral. Lineage: Eukaryota; Metazoa; Chordata; Mammalia; Rodentia; Sciuridae.